Molecule: unclassified non-coding RNA, 334 nt
Filed under: soil metagenome
Description: partial contains 5.8S ribosomal RNA, internal transcribed spacer 2, and large subunit ribosomal RNA
Rfam family: 5.8S ribosomal RNA (bases 1-120)
Source: RNAcentral
GAUGAAGAACGUAGUGAAAUGCGAUAAGUAAUGUGAAUUGCAGAAUUCAGUGAAUCAUCGAAUCUUUGAACGCACAUUGCGCCCAUUAGUAUUCUAGUGGGCAUGCCUGUUCGAGCGUCAUUUCAACCCUUAAGCCUAGCUUAGUAUUGGGAAUUGGCUUUAUUGCCAUUCCUCAAAUUCAACGGCGGAUUUAUAGCAAUCUCUGAACGUAGUAAUUUUUUUUCUCGUUUUUGAAAUACUAUAAACCUCAGCCGCUAAACCCCCAAUUUUCUAUGGUUGACCUCGGAUCAGGUAGGAAUACCCGCUGAACUUAAGCAUAUCAAUAAGCGGAGGA